Molecule: ribosomal RNA, 254 nt
Filed under: uncultured bacterium
Lineage: Bacteria
Description: partial 16S ribosomal RNA
Rfam family: Bacterial small subunit ribosomal RNA
Source: RNAcentral
UACAGAGGUCCCAAGCGUUGUUCGGAUUCAUUGGGCGUAAAGGGUGCGUAGGUGGCGUCGUAAGUCGGGUGUGAAAUCUCGGGGCUUAACUCCGAAACUGCAUUCGAUACUGCGGUGCUUGAGGACUGGAGAGGAGACUGGAAUUUACGGUGUAGCAGUGAAAUGCGUAGAGAUCGUAAGGAAGACCAGUGGCGAAGGCGGGUCUCUGGACAGUUCCUGACACUGAGGCACGAAGGCCAGGGGAGCAAACGGGG